Molecule: ribosomal RNA, 400 nt
Filed under: uncultured bacterium
Lineage: Bacteria
Description: bacterial SSU rRNA
Rfam family: Bacterial small subunit ribosomal RNA
Source: RNAcentral
GGGGAAUAUUGCACAAUGGGGGAAACCCUGAUGCAGCGACGCCGCGUGGAGGAAGAAGGUCUUCGGAUUGUAAACUCCUGUUGUUGAGGAAGAUAAUGACGGUACUCAACAAGGAAGUGACGGCUAACUACGUGCCAGCAGCCGCGGUAAAACGUAGGUCACAAGCGUUGUCCGGAAUUACUGGGUGUAAAGGGAGCGCAGGCGGGCGAUCAAGUUGGAAGUGAAAUCCAUGGGCUCAACCCAUGAACUGCUUUCAAAACUGAUUGUCUUGAGUAGUGCAGAGGUAGGCGGAAUUCCCGGUGUAGCGGUGGAACGCGUAGAUAUCGGGAGGAACACCAGUGGCGAAGGCGGCCUACUGGGCACCAACUGACGCUGAGGCUCGAAAGCGUGGGUAGCAAAC